RNAcentral lists this ribosomal RNA (253 nucleotides) under uncultured bacterium. RNAcentral describes it as "partial 16S ribosomal RNA". It matches the Rfam family "Bacterial small subunit ribosomal RNA", at positions 524 to 776 of the family's 1533-position model. The record is from RNAcentral.
UACGUAGGUGGCAAGCGUUGUCCGGAUUUAUUGGGCGUAAAGAGCGUGUAGGCGGCCAGAUAGGUCCGUUGUGAAAACUGGAGGCUUAACCUCCAGCCGUCGAUGGAAACCAUCUGGCUAGAGUCCGGAAGAGGAGAGUGGAAUUCCUGGUGUAGCGGUGAAAUGCGCAGAUAUCAGGAAGAACACCCGUGGCGAAAGCGGCUCUCUGGGACGGUACUGACGCUGAGACGCGAAAGCGUGGGGAGCGAACAGG